AUCGAGAGAGAGAGAGAGAGAGAGAGAGAGAGAGAGAGAGAGGGAGAGCGAGAGAGAGCGAGAGAGAGAGAGAGAGAGAGAGGGAGGGAGAGAGAGAAAGCAAAAAAAAGGGUGAUAAAGGCUCCCUCAGAACUAGCGCACCUCCCCCUCCAAGGAGAAGAAGAGCGAACGGCAGACAACUCACACACACCGCAGGCUGGAUUGGAAUGUAGGAACCGUCAGCCCAAGAUGGAAAAAUCUUCUUGACCCCUCUUCCACCGCCUGAGAUGUGGAGCGGAAGUUGGCUGCUGUCUUUGGUUAUCUAGCUGUAUGAGUAUUGAUGAUCUAUCAUAAAGCUAGAUAACCGAAAGUAGAAUCCACUUCCACAGCUUCGAGGAGAGCAAGAGCGAACAAAAGAUGACCAAAUGCAAAGAGUCAGAAAAGAAAACUCGUGGUCACAGUCAUCAGGUCGACUGGAGACAAUACCAUUAAAACAGGCCGCGAAGCGACACUUACUGAAGGAAACUUGAAAAGACUGGAGGGGCGGCAGUGGUGACCCUUAAUCAUAAAUACAAAUGACAUCGCUCAUCAUUACAUCGGCACAUCUUUCGAUAAGAAAAAAAAAGCCUUGAAGUCCUCUCUGAAGACUGCGAUUUGUUUUGUUUUCCCGAUGAGGCAGCACUUCUGAAGACGUGAAGCUGCCGCUUUGGGCUAUGCAGAGCACCAUGCUGGAAGGCAAGGGGAUGACCACCUGAAUGGCCAACUGGAAGCCAUUUUGUGAGAAAGAGAGAGUGCUCUUUGCUCAGCAGCCAUCUUGAGGGUGGGUGGGCUGCAGUUUCUAAAAUGGACGUAACGCCACUCACUGUGGCAUAAGAUUUCCCAUCACGGAGUUACCGGAAGAGCUCUCCGUACCAUGAGUGGCUAGCCUCAUGACAACAGACUUAAGAGGAAUCAUCCUAAAGCACAGUUUGCGUGGCUACAAUACGCACGUUGCAAAAGCCUGAAGUCUUGGAGAUAAGAUAGAAGACCUGUCAUCCUGGAGAAAGUUGGAAUGUAUUGCGAGCCUUUGCACUCUAGGUCCGUUGGUCAGCGAAAUGAGCUUUGAUGGAAACUUGAAGCAUCGACGUCUGUUAACGCCGGUUAUAUCGGUGUUUUGAUCAUUGGAACUUUGUUAGGGAAGAACCUUGAAUUUUCAGGCAAUAUAUACUUUAAUGUUAUUGAAUCAAGUUACUUUCCCUCAAUCUUCUUUUUCCUGCAUAGGGAUGAGUUGAGAUCAAGUUUACAGACACGCAAAGAUUUGCGUGUGUGGUGGGGCUAGUUUGGAAAUGGUCAGGUUAUACACUCUCAGCAAAAGACACAGGAUAGGAACUGACUUCCGGACCAAAACAAAGUCAGAAGCAAAUGUUCCUAAUAAAUUUAAUGAGCCAAAUUGGUCUAAUGAGGAGACGAUUUUUAAACAUUUGGUUUUGGACCUUUGGCGUGGAUGGAUUUCAGAGCACCCUCUAUUGAAGUUUAUUUUAUAUAUGAAUUUGGGUAUAUGAUGUGAAUUUUAUUUUAGAAAACUGAGUAUGCUUUGUGACUUUAUUAAGAGGAGUUAACUUUUAACCUGCAAUAAAUUCGUAUGAAUUGUUAGAAAUUGCUUAUGAAAAAUUAUUGUGGUCUAUGGGCGGAUUCUGCUGUUAAGUUGCUAGAUAGUUCAAUUUACCUAUAAAUUUUACUUUCUGAGCGCAAACAGCGAUUCUGGUACAAAGUGUGUCCAAAUUUGCGUCCAAUUUAACUGUGAAAACCUCCUCUCCACCCACCCCAAGUGAUUUAUAUUUCUACUCACGCUUAACCUGUCAUGAACCAAGGCAAUUUUAAAAUGUGCUCUUUAGAAAAUUAUUUUAAAACAUUCCUUGUUAUUUUUAAGAGCAACUUGGUAACAUUUGAUUAAUGUAGGUAAAAUAGGUUUAAAGUAAGCAUUUUAAAUCAGUGUCACUCCACCAUCAGUGAAAUUACAGAACGAAAUUACAGAUAAUGACUUUUUAAAAAUAUAUAGAACCAUUUCUUCGUUAUAUUAGGGUACAGUAAUCAUCUCCCUUUUUUCUUACUGUUAAAGAAAUGUUCAACCAUAACUAUUAGAGGAGAACCCAAAAGGUCCAGUUAAUUUUGGAACCACCUGGAAAGCUUGCAGUUGAGAACAAUUAGCUGAAACUCCCAAUAGGGGUAAUUCACCUUCGGGGUAUGACCAGUGUGUGGGUGGGGCAGAAUCUAGCUGGUUUUUAAAAGACUUGGCAAACGAAACGUGAUUCGUGCUUCAUAUCUCACGGUCCAUUGCGUCAGUUACGUUAAUGUUGGCGGAAUUACACCGAAGAGACUGUAAACAGAGUCUGCAUGAUGUUGCGACGGACGCCACAUUCAUGAAUAAACGUGUCAUCACACAGAGUGGGCUGGUUGGGGCCAACGUCACACCGCAUUCCCCCUCCCCCAUCACUCCGACCCUCUUUCCCACACCCCACAAAACCCCCUAAUCUAGAAGUGCGGGUGCAAUUGAUUCAGAAUUUCAAGGGAUAUGAACAUCCAUUCACUGAGUAGGAAUCUCCACUGGCUAUAGAUGCAACCUAUACAAUUCUGUUCUAUUUACCUAUCGAAGUUUAUCACAGUGAAUAAGUUUCAAAUCUGGAACAAUUCUGGAUUUAUGUUGCUCGAGAAUGAAUGGAAAUUGAGCAAGAACUAAAUAUUAAGAUGUUUCUCAUAGGACUGGUUUUAAAAUCUACGUUACUCGCAUUCUUCUUCAUCAUUUUUUUGAAAAAAUGGAAGGUCUGAAGCCGAAACGUCGACUGUCCAUUUCACCCCACAGAUGCUGCUCGACCCACUAAGUUUCUCCAGCUGUUAGUGUUUUGCUCCAGAUUCCAGCAUCUGCAGUCUCUUGUGUCUCCGUGGUUCGUAAUUAAAUUCGGUUCCUAUAAGCAAUAAAGAAUAAAAUAACAGUUAGGCUACUACAAUUAGGGAAGUAUUAAAAAGGACAACAUAUGUGUAACUCCUAGAAUUAAACUUGUAUGUUACUGAUGCCGAGAAAGAGCUUAUAUUUUUCCUCGAUUUAUGGUUCCAUGUCAUACUUCCUAAUGCUGAACGACACUUAAUUCUUUCACGUGUUUCCAGUGAGUAAGCUGCUAAUUUCGUGGUGUAAUUAACAAUGCAGUGUGUGAAUUGUUGUCUGGGAAUUAUUAUGUUAAAAUAAUGUGAAGAUUUUCUGACGACUUGGAACUGAUUUAUUAUAGUGUGUGCAUAUUUUGCGACUAUAUUUGCUGGAAAUACUUCACGCACACAGUAGAAGAAGGCGGGGUUCUUCGUGAAAGUAAGAAAUUUGAAGCUUUAAUUAGAACUGUUUGAUGUCUGAUAUUGGGGUUGGCGAACUUUUGGUCUCAUGCUAGACUCAAUCCUAGUUCUGGAGGGUUUACUGAUGAAUGGACCAAAAUUUCAUAAUUUUUUAAAGAACAUGCACAUAUUGUAUUUAUUAAAUGAGUAUGUUCAUCAUGCUUAAUAUGCAGUUUAUUUGGUAUAAUAAUUCUUGUUGUGCGUUUCUGUA
This is a long non-coding RNA of Pristis pectinata (smalltooth sawfish), 3547 nucleotides long. RefSeq lists it as uncharacterized. The transcript has 5 exons. Lineage: Eukaryota; Metazoa; Chordata; Chondrichthyes; Rhinopristiformes; Pristidae. The record is from RefSeq and is a predicted model, not a curated record.